GAUGAACGCUGGCGGCGUGCCUAAUACAUGCAAGUCGAGCGAACAGAUAAGGAGCUUGCUCCUUUGACGUUAGCGGCGGACGGGUGAGUAACACGUGGGUAACCUACCUAUAAGACUGGGAUAACUUCGGGAAACCGGAGCUAAUACCGGAUAAUAUUUCGAACCGCAUGGUUCGAUAGUGAAAGAUGGCUUUGCUAUCACUUAUAGAUGGACCCGCGCCGUAUUAGCUAGUUGGUAAGGUAACGGCUUACCAAGGCGACGAUACGUAGCCGACCUGAGAGGGUGAUCGGCCACACUGGAACUGAGACACGGUCCAGACUCCUACGGGAGGCAGCAGUAGGGAAUCUUCCGCAAUGGGCGAAAGCCUGACGGAGCAACGCCGCGUGAGUGAUGAAGGUCUUCGGAUCGUAAAACUCUGUUAUUAGGGAAGAACAUACGUGUAAGUAACUGUGCACGUCUUGACGGUACCUAAUCAGAAAACCACGGCUAACUACGU
Molecule: ribosomal RNA, 496 nt
Filed under: uncultured bacterium
Lineage: Bacteria
Description: partial 16S ribosomal RNA
Rfam family: Bacterial small subunit ribosomal RNA
Source: RNAcentral